AUAUGUACCGGCCUGUCUAAAACUAGCUAGAGUGGAAGAGGAGGAAAUAUGAGGGUGAAGUAGAGACAAAAUAUAUAUUUCCCCAUCUGGAGUACUAAAGGAACGCAUUCAGAGAGAGGACCUUUUUGUGCUGAAUCUAGAGGGAGAAGAGCUGGAUGUACCGCCACCCUACAAGAAGCUACAUAGGAGUUCAUGCACCCCAAACUUCCUGAAUGCCUACACACUUCGAAAGGCCGGCUCAGUGAUGCACAUUCACUCGAGGAAUGCCGUGCUGGCUACACUGCUCUACCCAGGCAGCGAAAUCCGCCUCACUCACCUGCAGAUGAUCAAGGGCAUCCAUAACCCGACGACGGGGGUAAAUUUCAACUACGACCAUGAAAUCGUGAUUCCGGUGAUUGAGAACACGAGGGAGGAAGUCGGCUU
Priapulus caudatus is the source of this 423-nucleotide long non-coding RNA. RefSeq lists it as uncharacterized. The record is from RefSeq and is a predicted model, not a curated record. The transcript has 4 exons. NCBI's taxonomy places the organism in Eukaryota, Metazoa, Priapulida, Priapulimorpha, Priapulimorphida, Priapulidae.